Molecule: ribosomal RNA, 460 nt
Filed under: uncultured bacterium
Lineage: Bacteria
Description: partial 16S ribosomal RNA
Rfam family: Bacterial small subunit ribosomal RNA
Source: RNAcentral
CCUAUGGGUGGCAGCAGUGGGGAAUAUUGGUCAAUGGGCUUACGCCUGAACCAGCCAAGUCGCGUGAGGGAAGACUGCCCUAUGGGUUGUAAACCUCUUUUGUCAGGGAGCAACGACGGCUACGUGUAGCCGGACUGAGAGUACCUGAAGAAAAAGCAUCGGCUAACUCCGUUCCAGCAGCCGCGGUAAUACGGAGGAUGCGCGCGUUAUCCGUAUUUAUUGGGGUGAAAGGGUGCGUAGGCGGAAUGCCAAGUCAGGGGUACUAUCGCGGGGCUCAACCUCGCUCCGCCGUUGAAACUGGCGUUCUUGAGUGGGCGAGAAGUAUGCGGAAGGCGGGGUGUAGCGGUGAAAUGCAUAGAUAUCACGCAGAACUCCGAUUGCGAAGGCAGCAUACCGGUGCCCAACUGACGCUGAAGCACGAAAGCGUGGGUAUCGAACAGGAUUAGAUACCCUUGUAGUC